Molecule: long non-coding RNA, 2339 nt
Filed under: Pan paniscus (pygmy chimpanzee)
Lineage: Eukaryota; Metazoa; Chordata; Mammalia; Primates; Hominidae
Description: lncRNA (ENSPPAG00000044171.1)
Source: RNAcentral
UCCUAACGUGUUUCCGCUGUUUACUUCUAGCAGUUUCAUAGGUUCAGGGUUGAGUGGACUCAGGAGGAUGCUGUCCAGUCCGGGAUGUGGAGAGGCAGGGGCUGUGGGGCCCCGGGGCCAGAUGGAGUGAUGCGGACCCCCACCGCCAGAUGGCACUGUGCUGGGGGUGGAGAGGAACAAAGCCGGUUCCCUCUGGAACGAGGCUGGCAUCUCCCUGCCCUGGGCUCGGAGACUGUGAGGGCCAAGAGGCACUCCUGCAGCCAACUUGUAGAUGUCCCUGGUGGGAGCGUGGACUGCAGGGGACCUCUCACUUACCUUUCCCCACAAUGGGUAGUCCUUGUUGCCCCGAGUCAGUCCCGUCCCGUUGUUUUGCUUCCCGCUCUCGGCCGCCACCUUGAGUCUCCACGCCUCGGCGCCUCAGCGCUCUCCUGGCGCCUCAGCGCUCUCCUGGCGCCUCAGCGCUCUCCUGGCGCCUCAGCGCCGCCUGCCUCCCUCCUCGCUGAACGCCAACAGUGCUCUUCCUCAGAUGCUCGAUUUGACUGGCGUGAGAUGCAGGAAAAAUCUCCUAAUAUAUUCAGAAUUGAUGUCUAAUCCCCCAUAAAAUACAUCGUUUCCAACAUAAAAAUCAGUGAUGCAAACGCACUUCACGCGCAGCACCCACGUGCACCGUACCACACAACGCUGUGACAACACUAACACGAAGCUGAUGCUGAUUGCUCAACAGUGAGGGAUCCCUGCCCAGCAGCGGCCAGCACCAUGGAGCCGGUAGGUUAACUCAUCAACUUGUAAGCAUGGUAAAAUCUCAGGCCCUUCAGAGUUCUUGACAAGAACCACACCCCAGGGAGCAGUAGAACUGUGUAGAUAGAACCUGGACCACCUAAGCUUAUUUUUCUGGUGAGUAAAAUAUAGUCAAGAUAGUGAACAUGUUAGUCAUGGCAACUCCAAGGAACACUGAAAUUCUGUUUGCCAAUGUGUGUAGUCAGAGACGAAAACAAAAUGGAGUGACCAAUUUAGAGGACUUCCAGUUGUGUCCUGGUCAUUACUGAUGCCUUCUAGUCCUGAUUGCUUUUUAAGCUGUAGAUUAUUGUUGGAAUUAAAGCUGCCUUGCGGGAAGAUAUUUAGCUAUUUGAACUACUUGGGGUUGUUGUUGACUAUUUAAAAUAAGUGUUUCUGAGUAUCAGUGAUCCGUUUUGAGCUACAGACAUAGAUUCUUUUUAUACCAGGAAACUGUCUUUGUUAUUUCUAUGAUGUUUUAUAAAAAUUUCUUUGGGAAUAAAACUGACCCAGGUUCAGCCGGGCACAGUGGCUCACGCCUGUAAUCCCAGCACUUUGGGAGGCCGAGGCGGAUGAAUCAUGAGGUCAGGAGAUCGAGACCAUCCUGGCUAACAUGGUGAAACCCCGUCUCUACUAAAAAUACAAAAAAUUAGCCAGGCGUAGUGGCAGGCACCUGUAGUCCCAGCUACUAGGGAGGCUGAGGCAGGAGAAUGGCGUGAACCCGGGAGGCGGAGCUUGCAGUGAGCAGAGAUUGCACCACUUCACUCCAGCCUGGGCGACAGAGCCAGACUCCGUCUCAAAAAACAAAAACAACAAAAAACAAAAAACCGACCCAGGUUCUAGACUGUUCUUUCACCUUUUUAUGGGCUGUAUUCUAAUCAGCGCCCUUUGCUUUUUAUUCUAGACUUGCGUCUCAUGCUUGUAAUCACCAGAACUUAUAUACUUUGCUAAAUUGGUGGCUUUGCUUGUUAAUCCUUCUUACACUGAUUUCCAUACUGUUACUUCAAAUUUUGAUUUCUUACCAAGCUCUAUUUUUAAUUUUGCCUGAAUCUUACUCAGCUAAGUCCUUUUAUCUCAGCCCAUUGACAUUUUUCUUAUUUCACAAAUACAUGUUUUCUUGAAUGUUACUGAAAAUACAAUAUAGAAGCUUUCUCAAGUUUUUAAAAAAUUCCUCCAACAGUAAAUCUGUUUGUUGAUAUAAAGCCAUAAAAAUGAUACAAUUGACUCUGGGGACUUGGGGGUAAGAGUGGGAAGGAGGCGCGGGAUCAAAGACUACACUUAGGGUGCAGUGUAUACUGCUUGGGUGACGAGUGCACCAAAAUCUCACAAAUCACCACUAAAGAGCUUACUCAUGUACCCAAUUACCAUCUGUACCCCAAUAACUUAGGGAAAAUAAAAUAAAAAAUAAACAUUUAUAAAAAGAAAUAAAAUAAAAUAAAAUAAAAAUAUAGCAAGGUUCAUAUUCUUUUUUCUUCACACUGUAGACUCUUUUCAUCAUUCCGAUGUUGGGAAUUUUUGUCACAGCUUUGAACAAAAGAAUUCAAUAAAGGCCAAGUAUUUUCAAA